This is a non-coding RNA of Myodes glareolus (Bank vole), 3483 nucleotides long. Lineage: Eukaryota; Metazoa; Chordata; Mammalia; Rodentia; Cricetidae. The record is from RefSeq and is a predicted model, not a curated record.
AGAUAGAUAGAUAGAUAGAUAGAUAGAUAGAUAGAUAGAUAGAUAGAUAGACUGUGUUCUGACUGGGCUUCAAUGAUGGUUGUGUAAAUGUGUACUGGCUUCAUCCCUGUCAUUCCUGGUCGUGACUCUGAUAGCAAGAAGCUGGACUCAGGACACCUCCACAAAGUACCAUAACCUGCAGGGUGAAGACUGCACGCACACAAAUGUGUCAGGCGUCUCAGGCAAUGAACCGCUCUGGCUUACAGGAUGGCCACAGGUCAGAGGGAAACUGUGCCGAGGAAAAUGACUCUGGAGUCUUUCUGGCCCUGAGCCUGGACAGAUUAGAGUCCCACACCUGAAUAGCCUGACCACCGCCGACAUCACUCGUGAGCCUAAGGUGGCGAGAGCAGAGCCCCGCUGACCAGCUCGGUGAGAGGAGAGCGGAGCCCAUCUGCCGAUGUUGAUGGGGCUGGAUGUGACACAGCCUGCUGGGGUGGGUGUGGGCCAAGAGUGGCCAACAGCAGGUGGCCCCGCACAUGGCGUGGUGAGUCCAACCGAGUGAUGUGGGGCAGACAGGCGAGCAGAAGAUGCCCGGCAUGGACACCCGGGGUACAGCUGCUGCCCAUAGCUGGUCUGGACACACCUGCCCAGCCUAAGGGCUCAGGCUGCUGUGAGUGGAAACCUUUGUUCAGAGGAUGACUUUACAAUGUGGUUCCAUAAACAGUGGCAGGGCAUUAGGUGGGGACAGAGCCACACACUCUUCCCCUUGUGUGCUCUGCUGAGGGGGAGGAGGGGAGCAGACUGACCUCCAGGCUCCCUUCAGACUUCCCUUCCCUUCUCUUCCUCUUUCCUCCCGUGUGUGUGUGUGUGUGUGUGUGUGUGUGUGUGUGUGUGUGUGCAUUGCUUACCACAGCACACAUGUGGAGAUCAGAAGGCAAUUCUCCUAUCCUGGAUAUUAACUAGUAACCAAGAUUCCUCCAAGGAUCAUUUCACAAGACCGUGGAUUUGAUUCCCGACACCACAUACACACACAUGCACGUACACACUUUCCUAUGUGUGAAUAUAGAUACACAUGUGCCACAGCACACAUGUGGUGGUCAGAGGACAAUCUCAAGUUGUUAGAGAUAAAGUUUUUUGUUGUUGGUGGUGUUGUUUGCUGCUUUCCCAAGGCUAAUUGAUUUGUAAACUUCUGGGAAUUCUCCUGUCUCCAUCCAGGAGUGCUGAAAUUAUAUGCAUGUAAUUAACCAUACCCAACUUUAUCUGGAUUAUGAAGAUCUGAAGCCCAGGUCUUUAUCUAGUGCAGCAAAUGCUUUAAACCAUCUCCCCUGAGCAGACAGUGGAUUUGGAAUCAGCCUGAACACGGUUUGAGCUCUGAAGAACAUGGUCCGAGCUCUGAAGUCUCUAAAGUAUGAGGAGGCCCCAGCCUGCUUAACCCCCCUGUAAAACAGCACACUCUAAGGAUUAGGACCAGAACUCUAUAGUGAGUGCCUCACAGAGGGCCUGGGUCAGUGUAAGUACUCAUUAGGUGGCAGUUGCUCACCAAAUGGUCGUUCUGCUCCAGUGGAGAGCAGCCUUAUCUCCAGCUGGCCUCACACACACACACACACACACACACACACACACACACACACACGUACGCACUUGCACCCGCACCCACAUACAACAGUAAUAACCCUUAGUGCCUUGGCAUAUGCUCCGUCUCCCGAGCAAAGCCUUCCUUCUUCCCUGUGACAGGCCGUUCCUGUGUCUAACGGUCCAUUCUCCCCUUCUGUUCUCUAUGUAGGCUCCCCACUUGCCUCUAGUUAUUAAUUUAUUUCUAAAAUGAAAUCUUGCUAGGUUAUGCAGGUUGGCCUCAAACUUCUGGACCCAAGCAAUUCUUCUACCUCAGCUUCCAGAGUAGUUGGGAUUUUGAUGGGGAGGGGAGGAGUUUGCAACCGGCUCCCACUAGACUUAAAUGAUGCCCUGGCUGUGCGGGAGCUGUGUGUGUAGAUCCCUUUUGGAAUCCAGCAUUGUGUCCUGAGUUUUGGAGCAGCACUAUAUUCGGGGCCUAGUGCCACAGGGUGUAAAUUCAGAUGGCAAUAAGCCGAUUUACUCUAUUUAUUCUUUAUUUUAUUUUUUAGAGUUGGGAUAUCAGUCUAUAUCUGAUAUAGACUAUCUAACUGUCUUCAAACUCAUGCCUGCCUUAGCCUCCCAAGUGUUGGUAUCACAGGCAUAAAUCACCAAGGCUAGCUUCAAAAUGAACUUAAAUUCCAGCUCAAUUCCUACCCAUCUAGACGGUGGAUGUCAAGUGCCUCGGCAUACUUGGCUCUGCUUCCUGAGCUGUAACAAGGAUGCCAUAAUAGCGAGAGAGGGUCUUCUGAGAUUAGCUUGGGAGCAUUUGAAAACAUGAAACGCGGUAGCCCCUUCACGAGCAUUAGGUACGAUCAGUUUUACUAAUAGCUUCGUUAAAGAUCGAUGCAGAGCCGUUAAAGACAGAGCCGGGAGGGCAUGGAAGGCAACCCUGGUGAGGCAGGGGACAACCCCUGUGACUCACAGGGACUUUCCACCACGUUCAAAGCUCCGGUUGUUGCCUGGGGCAAGUUCUGCUUUCCAAGGCCAUGGGCUGGGUGCUGUCUAGGGCCCUCUGGGGAGGGACUUUAGAUUUACACACAGGUGAGAAAUAGAACCUCCCUUGCUCUGAGGAGGAAGCCCUGAGCCGUGUCACUGUCUUUCAGAUAAAGUUAAUUUCUUUCUUUUUAAAAUUAUGUGUGAUUAAAAAAACAAAACAAAAAAAACAAACAAAAACAAAACCCAACUCACUUGGCUUCUUUUCUUCUCGUGUGUCUGCCUGUACCCGGUCACCCCAUAAACAGCCUCUGUGGUGUGAGAUCUCAUAACUCUGCGAAAUUCUUCUAUGAUGCAGCCCUAAGUCAGCCUGACUUCCUGGAAGCGUCAUGAGCCUGCUGGAGCAGACAUGGACCAAGAGAGCCCAGCAGCUGGUGGCUCCCCAUGUGUCUUCUGGCAUCAUUUCAUCCUACGUGUGGAUCCUUAGCCAACCUGGCCUUGCUUUUCCUCCCUCUCCAGAGCCUGCCUUCCAUCAAAGCUCUAGGUUCAGGUUUGAAAGUUACUGGGAACUGACAGGGAAACUGGCCCUAGGGGCUGAGGUAGCGCUCAGGGGCGGGCGCUGGGUUAGCUUUUGCAAGCUGGUGGUGUGGUCUUAAAUAUCGCCUUUCGUUUUAGGAGGCCCAGAGGCUUGGCAUAAUAAAGUUCAGUGUUCUGUGGAUUUCUCGUUCUCGUCCUUCCUUCUUAUUUUGUCCUAUCAUUGAACUGGUCAGGACGGUUUCGUUUUUUGCUGGGCCAUGCUGCUGGGUCAAAGUGUGCCUCUAUUAUUAACCUGUCUAACAGCUGAGAACAGUGAAGUACCCAGACGCUACAGGCCCACCCAGGAUCACGUGACAGCGGGCUGGCUGGGACUCACACUUCCGAUGGUGGUGCCACCUGACUCCCGUGGCUCAGGCGGAGCUC